UAAAGCAACUAAGGGCGUAUGGUGGAUGCCUUGGGUCUGAGAGGCGAUGAAGGACGUGGUAAGCUGCGAUAAGCUUCGGGGAGCUGCACACGAGCGUUAUAUCCGAAGAUUUCCGAAUGGGACAACCUAAUAUCCUGAAGGGAUAUUACUCGAAAGAGAGCCAACUCCGUGAACUGAAACAUCUAAGUAGCGGAAGGAAAAGAAAACAAUAGUGAUUCCCUGAGUAGUGGCGAGCGAAAAGGGACAAGCCCAAACCGAAUCCGCUUGCGGGUUCGGGGUUAUAGGACUGCAUUUAGAAACUAAUGUCAAGCUGAAUCAUCUGGAAAGAUGGGCCAUAGCAGGUGAUAGCCCUGUAAGCACAAAUCAUUAGGGACGAGCAGUAUCCUGAGUAAUGCGGGACCGGAGGAAUCUUGCAUGAAUUUGCCAGCACCAUCUGGUAAGGCUAAAUACUCCUCAGACACCGAUAGUGAACCAGUACCGUAAGGGAAAGGUGAAAAGCACCCCGAACAGGGGAGUGAAAUAGUACCUGAAACCGUACGCCUACAAGCGGUCGAAGCCAGCAAUGGUGACGGCGUGCCUUUUGCAUAAUGAUCCUACGAGUUACUCCUCACUGGCGAGGUUAAGUUCUUAUUUAACGGAGCCGAAGCGAAAGCGAGUCCAAAUAGGGCGAUUAGUCAGUGGGGGUAGACGCGAAACUUUGUGAUCUAUCCAUGGGCAGGUUGAAGGUGUAGUAACAUACACUGGAGGACCGAACUCGUUGACGUUGAAAAGUCUUGAGAUGACCUGUGGAUAGGGGUGAAAGGCCAAUCAAACUGAGAAAUAGCUCGUACUCCCCGAAAUGUUUUUAGGAACAGCCUCGGGGUCAAGUUUUAAGCAGGUAAAGCUACCGAUAGGACUAGGGGGAGUCAAAUCCUACCAAAUCCUGACGAACUCUGAAUGGCUUAAAAUAUACCCGGGAGUGAGGGUUGGGGUGCUAAGGUCCCAAUCCGAGAGGGAAAGAACCCAGACCAACAGCUAAGGUCCCAAAAUCUUUACUAAGUUGAACUAAGGAAGUCUGAUUGCAGUGACAGCCAGGAUGUUAGCUUGGAAGCAGCUAUUCAUUUAAAGAGUGCGUAACAGCUCACUGGUCGAGCGAGGCGGGCAUCGAUAAUAAACGGGCAUCAAGUAAAGUACCGAAGCUUUGGAUUAUAUUUAUAUACUGGUAGGGGAGCAUUCUGAUCUGCGGAGAAGGUGAAGCGACGAGCUUUGCUGGAGCGUUCAGAAAAGCAAAUGUAGGCAUGAGUAACGAUAAUGAGGGCGAGAAACCCUCACGCCGAAAGACUAAGGUUUCCUCAGCUAUGCUAAUCAACUGAGGGUUAGUCGGGGGCUAAGGGCCUAGCGAAAGCGACAGCUUAAUGCACAACAGGUUAAUAUUCCUGUACUUACUUAUUGGGCAAAUAGAUGACGGAGAUUACAGGUUACCAGAUACUGACGGAAUAGUGUCUUUGAGAGGCGGCAGCAAUGCCAAAACGAGUGUAGUGAGUAAACUUCCAAGAAAAGUCUAGGCGUGUAUAACUUAUAAGUAACCCGUACCGUAAACCGACACAGGUGGUCGAGAAGAAUAUUCUAAGGCGCUCGAGUGAAUCACGGCUAAGGAACUCGGCAAAUUAACCCUGUAACUUCGGGAUAAAGGGAGCCACGAGCAAUCGUGGCCGCAGAGAAAUGGCCCAGGCGACUGUUUAACAAAAACACAUGGCUUUGCUAAAUCGAAAGAUGACGUAUAAGGCCUGACACCUGCCCGGUGCUGGAAGGUUAAGUGGAGAUGUUAGCUUCGGCGAAGCAUUGAAAUGAAGCCCCAGUAAACGGCGGCCGUAACUAUAACGGUCCUAAGGUAGCGAAAUUCCUUGUCGGGUAAGUUCCGACCU
RNAcentral lists this ribosomal RNA (1904 nucleotides) under marine metagenome. RNAcentral's name for it is "bacterial LSU rRNA". It matches the Rfam family "Bacterial large subunit ribosomal RNA", at positions 1 to 1989 of the family's 2925-position model. The record is from RNAcentral.